UCCACCGGACAGCCUACGCAUUUGCCUUGGCCGUUCCAGCUGUGACUACUUCACUGAGGCGUAGGGCCACCAUCCCUUCCAUUGCACUACGAAUUUGGGUUGACUGAUGGAACGGUUUGCAAUGGAAGGUUAGAACGGUUUGCAAUAUGUUUUCCUGCAGUGACUUGCUACGAAAUUGUAGAAAUUGCAAGGCAUCUAAUACCGUCAAUACUUGGUCUGUG
RNAcentral lists this long non-coding RNA (221 nucleotides) under Elaeis guineensis (African oil palm). RNAcentral describes it as "long non-coding RNA (EGUI_LNC036773)". Lineage: Eukaryota; Viridiplantae; Streptophyta; Magnoliopsida; Arecales; Arecaceae. The record is from RNAcentral.